GAUGAACGCUGGCGGCGUGCCUAAUACAUGCAAGUCGAGCGAACGGACGAGAAGCUUGCUUCUCUGAUGUUAGCGGCGGACGGGCGAGUAACACGUGGAUCACCUACCUAUAAGACUGGGAUAACUUCGGGAAACCGGAGCUAAUACCGGAUGAUAUUUUGAACCGCAUGGUUCAAAAGUGAAAGACGGUCUUGCUGUCACUUAUAGAUGGAUCCGCGUUGCAUUAGCUAGUUGGUAAGGUAACGGCUUACCAAGGCAACGAUGCAUAGCCGACCUGAGAGGGUGAUCGGCCACACUGGAACUGAGACACGGUCCAGACUCCUACGGGAGGCAGCAGUAGGGAAUCUUGCGCAAUGGGCGAAAGCCUGACGGAGCAACGCCGCGUGAGUGAUGAAGGUCUUCGGAUCGUAAAACUCUGUUAUUAGGGAAGAACAUAUGUGUAAGUAACUGUGCACGUCUUGACGGUACCUAAUCAGAAAGCCACGGCUAACUACGUG
Molecule: ribosomal RNA, 497 nt
Filed under: uncultured bacterium
Lineage: Bacteria
Description: partial 16S ribosomal RNA
Rfam family: Bacterial small subunit ribosomal RNA
Source: RNAcentral